This 459-nucleotide ribosomal RNA is filed under the name uncultured bacterium. Its description in RNAcentral is "partial 16S ribosomal RNA". It matches the Rfam family "Bacterial small subunit ribosomal RNA", at positions 338 to 795 of the family's 1533-position model. The record is from RNAcentral.
CCUACGGGUGGCAGCAGUGAGGAAUAUUGGUCAAUGGCCGAGAGUCUGAACCAGCCAAGUCGCGUGAGGGAAGAAUGUCCUAUGGAUUGUAAACCUCUUUUGUCAGGGAGCAAAGUCACCCACGUGUGGGUGUUUGAGAGUACCUGAAGAACAAGCAUCGGCUAACUCCGUGCCAGCAGCAGCGGUAAUACGGAGGAUGCGAGCGUUAUCCGGAUUUAUUGGGUUUACAGGGGGCGUAGGCGGGUGAUCAAGUCAGCGGUAAAGUCGUGGAGCUCAACUCCAUCCAGCCGUUGAAACUGAUGAUCUUGAGUGGGCGAGAAGUGUGCGGCAUUCGUGGUGUAGCGGUGAAAUGCAUAGAUAUCGCGCAGAACUCCGAUUGCGAAGGCAGCAUACCGGAGCCCGACUGACGCUGAAGCACGAAAGCGUGGGUAUCGAACAGGAUUAGAUACCCGAGUAGUC